RNAcentral lists this ribosomal RNA (253 nucleotides) under uncultured bacterium. Its description in RNAcentral is "partial 16S ribosomal RNA". It matches the Rfam family "Bacterial small subunit ribosomal RNA", at positions 524 to 776 of the family's 1533-position model. The record is from RNAcentral.
UACGUAGGGUGCGAGCGUUAAUCGGAAUUACUGGGCGUAAAGCGUGCGCAGGCGGUUUUGUAAGCCAGAUGUGAAAUCCCCGGGCUUAACCUGGGAAUGGCAUUUGGGACUGCAAGGCUCGAGUGCGGCAGAGGAGACUGGAAUUCCUGGUGUAGCAGUGAAAUGCGUAGAUAUCAGGAGGAACACCGAUGGCGAAGGCAGGUCUCUGGGCUGACACUGACGCUCAUGCACGAAAGCGUGGGGAGCAAAAGGG